Molecule: ribosomal RNA, 786 nt
Filed under: uncultured Bacillota bacterium
Lineage: Bacteria; Bacillati; Bacillota
Description: bacterial SSU rRNA
Rfam family: Bacterial small subunit ribosomal RNA
Source: RNAcentral
GGAAAGUGGAGCAAUCCAUGAGUACAGUGGCGUACGGGUGAGUAACACGUGGGUGAUCUACCUUUUAGUGGGGAAUAACCCUGGGAAACCGGGGCUAAUACCGCAUAAGCCCGAGAGGGGAAAGCAGCAAUGCGCUGAAAGAGGAGCCCGCGGCCGAUUAGCUAGUUGGCAGGGUAAGAGCCUACCAAGGCAGAGAUCGGUAGCCGGCCUGAGAGGGCACACGGCCACACUGGCACUGAAACACGGGCCAGACUCCUACGGGAGGCAGCAGUGGGGAAUCUUGCACAAUGGGGGGAACCCUGAUGCAGCGACGCCGCGUGAGCGAUGAAGCCCUUCGGGGUGUAAAGCUCUUUCGGCAGGGAAGAUGAUGACGGUACCUGCAGAAGCAGCUGCGGCUAACUACGUGCCAGCAGCCGCGGUAAUACGUAGGCAGCGAGCGUUGUUCGGAGUUACUGGGCGUAAAGGGUGUGUAGGCGGUUCUUUAAGUUUGGUGUGAAAUCUCCCGGCUCAACCGGGAGGGUGCGCCGAAUACUGAGGGACUAGAGUGCGGGAGAGGAAAGUGGAAUUCCUGGUGUAGCGGUGAAAUGCGUAGAUAUCAGGAGGAACACCGGUGGUGUAGACGGCUUUCUGGACCGUAACUGACGCUGAGACACGAAAGCGUGGGUAGCAAACAGGAUUAGAUACCCUGGUAGUCCACGCCCUAAACGAUGCAUAUUUGGUGUGGGCAGUUCAUUCUGUNCCGUGCCGGAGCUAACGCGUUAAAUAUGCCGUCCUGGGGAGUACAGU